CAUCGAGACUCCUACGGGAGGCAGCAGUGGGGAAUAUUGCACAAUGGGCGCAAGCCUGAUGCAGCCAUGCCGCGUGUAUGAAGAAGGCCUUCGGGUUGUAAAGUACUUUCAGCAGUGAGGAAGGUGGUGUCGUUAAUAGCGGCAUCAUUUGACGUUAGCUGCAGAAGAAGCACCGGCUAACUCCGUGCCAGCAGCCGCGGUAAUACGGAGGGUGCGAGCGUUAAUCGGAAUUACUGGGCGUAAAGCGCAUGCAGGUGGUUGUUAAGUCAGAUGUGAAAGCCCGGGGCUCAACCUCGGAAUUGCAUUUGAAACUGGCAGACUAGAGUACUGUAGAGGGGGUAGAAUUUCAGGUGUAGCGGUGAAAUGCGUAGAGAUCUGAAGGAAUACCGGUGGCGAAGGCGGCCCCCUCGGACAGAUACUGACACUCAGAUGCGAAAAGCGUGGGGAGCAAACAGGAUUAGAUACCCUGGUAG
This 473-nucleotide ribosomal RNA is filed under the name uncultured bacterium. RNAcentral's name for it is "bacterial SSU rRNA". It matches the Rfam family "Bacterial small subunit ribosomal RNA", at positions 328 to 793 of the family's 1533-position model. The record is from RNAcentral.